CCUACGGGUGGCAGCAGUGAGGAAUAUUGGUCAAUGGACGAAAGUCUGAACCAGCCAAGUAGCGUGAAGGAUGACUGCCCUAUGGGUUGUAAACUUCUUUUAUAUGGGAAUAAAGCGAUGCACGUGUGCCUUUUUGCAUGUACUUUAUGAAUAAGGAUCGGCUAACUCCGUGCCAGCAGCCGCGGUAAUACGGAGGAUACGAGCGUUAUCCGGAUUUAUUGGGUUUAAAGGGAGCGUAGGUGGGUUGUUAAGUCAGUUGUGAAAGUUUGGGGCUCAACCGUAAAAUUGCCAUUGAUACUGGAAGUCUUGAGUACAGUUGAGGUAGGCGGAAUUCGUGGUGUAGCGGUGAAAUGCAUAGAUAUCACGCAGAACCCCGAUUGCGAAGGCAGCUUACUAAACUGUGACUGACACUGAUGCACGAAAGCGUGGGUAUCAAACAGGAUUAGAUACCCGUGUAGUC
Molecule: ribosomal RNA, 460 nt
Filed under: uncultured bacterium
Lineage: Bacteria
Description: partial 16S ribosomal RNA
Rfam family: Bacterial small subunit ribosomal RNA
Source: RNAcentral